AGCGAACGCUGGCGGCAUGCCUAACACAUGCAAGUCGCACGGGGGGGCUUCGGCCUCCCAGUGGCGGACGGGUGAGGAACGCGUAGGGACCUGUCGAGGGGUGGGGGAUAACCGCGGAAACUGCGGCUAAUACCGCAUGACGCCGCGGCGUGACAGCCGGGGCCAAAGGCGAAAGCCGCCCGCCGAGGGGCCUGCGUCCGAUUAGCUGGUUGGCGGGGUAGCGGCCCACCAAGGCGUCGAUCGGUAGCUGGUCUGAGAGGGUGAUCAGCCACACCGGGACUGAGACACGGCCCGGACUCCUACGGGAGGCAGCAGUGGGGAAUAUUGGACAAUGGGCGCAAGCCUGAUCCAGCAAUGCCGCGUGGGUGAAGAAGGUCUUCGGAUUGUAAAGCCCUUUCGGCGGGGACGAUGGUGACGGUACCCGCAGAAGAAGCCCCGGCUAACUUCGUG
RNAcentral lists this ribosomal RNA (450 nucleotides) under uncultured bacterium. Its description in RNAcentral is "partial 16S ribosomal RNA". It matches the Rfam family "Bacterial small subunit ribosomal RNA", at positions 28 to 507 of the family's 1533-position model. The record is from RNAcentral.